AGAGCGAACGCUGGCGGCAGGCCUAACACAUGCAAGUCGAGCGCCCGUAGCAAUACGGGAGCGGCAGACGGGAUAGUAACACGUGGGAACGCGCCCUUCGGUUCGGAAUAACUCAGGGAAACUUGAGCUAAUAGCGAAUACGCCCUUACGGGGAAAGAUUUAUUGCCGAAGGAACGGCCCGCGUCCGAUUAGCUAGUUGGUGAGGUAAUGGCUCACCAAGGCUACGAUCGGUAGCUGGUCUGAGAGGAUGACCAGCAUCACUGGGACUGAGACACGGCCCAGACUCCUACGGGAGGCAGCAGUGGGGAAUAUUGGACAAUGGGCGCAAGCCUGAUCCAGCCAUGCCGCGUGGAUGAUGAAGGCCUUAGGGUUGUAAAGUCCUUUUAACGGGGAAGAUAACGACGGUACCCGUAGAAUAAGCCCCGGCUAACUCGUGCCAGCAGCCGC
Molecule: ribosomal RNA, 447 nt
Filed under: uncultured bacterium
Lineage: Bacteria
Description: SSU rRNA
Rfam family: Bacterial small subunit ribosomal RNA
Source: RNAcentral